GGGUUCACAAAAGAUCCUUGGCAUUUCACGUGAAAUCAACCUCUUCUUCCUCUCAAAACAGACUCAGCAGCGACUCCUCCUUCUCUAGCUCGCGAUUUCGCCGCCGUACCCACAACCUGCGCCUUCAAAAUCCUUCGAUUUCCUUCGUCUACAUUCUCACAUUCAUCUCCGUCCGUCAUCCCACAGUAUCGUUGGCGUGCUUCUUAUCUGUUUGUGAUUCCGUCUCAAACGUGCCACGACUCUUCUCCUUUUCUUAUUUCCCUUCUGUUUUAGUUUUUGGUAUUUGCGUGUGCUUGUUAAUGAGGAUCUGUUGUAAUGCUGCAAUUUCUUGUUGUUACAGGUUGUAUUGUUGUGAUGUUGAACGUUACAAGGUGAAAUGGAUGAUUUGA
Vicia faba (fava bean) is the source of this 389-nucleotide non-coding RNA. NCBI's taxonomy places the organism in Eukaryota, Viridiplantae, Streptophyta, Magnoliopsida, Fabales, Fabaceae. The record is from the annotation of a GenBank genome assembly.